This 1053-nucleotide ribosomal RNA is filed under the name Salmonella enterica subsp. enterica serovar Hvittingfoss. Its description in RNAcentral is "partial 23S ribosomal RNA". It matches the Rfam family "Bacterial large subunit ribosomal RNA", at positions 711 to 1761 of the family's 2925-position model. The record is from RNAcentral. Lineage: Bacteria; Pseudomonadati; Pseudomonadota; Gammaproteobacteria; Enterobacterales; Enterobacteriaceae.
AGACCCGAAACCCGGUGAUCUAGCCAUGGGCAGGUUGAAGGUUGGGUAACACUAACUGGAGGACCGAACCGACUAAUGUUGAAAAAUUAGCGGAUGACCUGUGGCUGGGGGUGAAAGGCCAAUCAAACCGGGAGAUAGCUGGUUCUCCCCGAAAGCUAUUUAGGUAGCGCCUCGUGAAUUCAUCUCCGGGGGUAGAGCACUGUUUCGGCUAGGGGGCCAUCCCGGCUUACCAACCCGAUGCAAACUGCGAAUACCGGAGAAUGUUAUCACGGGAGACACACGGCGGGUGCUAACGUCCGUCGUGAAGAGGGAAACAACCCAGACCGCCAGCUAAGGUCCCAAAGUCAUGGUUAAGUGGGAAACGAUGUGGGAAGGCCCAGACAGCCAGGAUGUUGGCUUAGAAGCAGCCAUCAUUUAAAGAAAGCGUAAUAGCUCACUGGUCGAGUCGGCCUGCGCGGAAGAUGUAACGGGGCUAAACCAUGCACCGAAGCUGCGGCAGCGACGCUGAUGCGUUGUUGGGUAGGGGAGCGUUCUGUAAGCCUGUGAAGGUGUGUCGUGAGGCAUGCUGGAGGUAUCAGAAGUGCGAAUGCUGACAUAAGUAACGAUAAAGCGGGUGAAAAGCCCGCUCGCCGGAAGACCAAGGGUUCCUGUCCAACGUUAAUCGGGGCAGGGUGAGUCGACCCCUAAGGCGAGGCCGAAAGGCGUAGUCGAUGGGAAACGGGUUAAUAUUCCCGUACUUGGUGUUACUGCGAAGGGGGGACGGAGAAGGCUAUGUUGGCCGGGCGACGGUUGUCCCGGUUUAAGCGUGUAGGUGUGUGUUCCAGGUAAAUCCGGUUCACUUUAACACUGAGGCGUGACGACGAGGCACUACGGUGCUGAAGCAACAAAUGCCCUGCUUCCAGGAAAAGCCUCUAAGCAUCAGGUAACAUCAAAUCGUACCCCAAACCGACACAGGUGGUCAGGUAGAGAAUACCAAGGCGCUUGAGAGAACUCGGGUGAAGGAACUAGGCAAAAUGGUGCCGUAACUUCGGGAGAAGGCACGCUGACAUGUAG